Molecule: ribosomal RNA, 253 nt
Filed under: uncultured bacterium
Lineage: Bacteria
Description: partial 16S ribosomal RNA
Rfam family: Bacterial small subunit ribosomal RNA
Source: RNAcentral
UACGUAGGGUGCGAGCGUUAAUCGGAAUUACUGGGCGUAAAGCGCACGCAGGCGGUUUGUUAAGUCAGAUGUGAAAUCCCCGCGCUUAACGUGGGAACUGCAUUUGAAACUGGCAAGCUAGAGUGCGGUAGAGGAUGGCGGAAUUCCCGGUGUAGCAGUGAAAUGCGUAGAGAUCGGGAGGAACAUCUGUGGCGAAGGCGGCCAUCUGGACCAGCACUGACACUGAGGCACGAAAGCGUGGGGAGCAAACAGG